CCGUCGAUAGCUCAUUGGUAGAGCGGUGGGCUGUAGGCAUGGGGAUCCAUAGGUCGCUGGUUUGAAUCCGGCUCGACGGA
Molecule: transfer RNA, 80 nt
Filed under: Stegodyphus mimosarum
Lineage: Eukaryota; Metazoa; Arthropoda; Arachnida; Araneae; Eresidae
Rfam family: tRNA
About the family: Transfer RNA (tRNA) molecules are approximately 80 nucleotides in length. Their secondary structure includes four short double-helical elements and three loops (D, anti-codon, and T loops). Further hydrogen bonds mediate the characteristic L-shaped molecular structure. tRNAs have two regions of fundamental functional importance: the anti-codon, which is responsible for specific mRNA codon recognition, and the 3' end, to which the tRNAs corresponding amino acid is attached (by aminoacyl-tRNA synthetases). tRNAs cope with the degeneracy of the genetic code in two manners: having more than one tRNA (with a specific anti-codon) for a particular amino acid; and 'wobble' base-pairing, i.e. permitting non-standard base-pairing at the 3rd anti-codon position.
Source: Rfam by way of RNAcentral